ACACAUCUAAUAUAAACCGUUCUUAACUCUUUAAUUGUACCAAGCACUGGGUGGGUGGAGAAAGUGAAUGCUGCCGAGGCCUCCACAACUCUGUCCCAGGAGUGUCCCACAUUUAUUUGCGGGGGUUGCAGUUGGUCCCGCCCCAGUUGUGCCAUCCAAUCCCUGGCUGCCAGCGCAAUCCUUAACCCCUGCCGUCAUUCUCCCAGGCUCCCUCACAGCCUGCCAUGUGGGUGCCACCAUUACGGAGCUGCAGGGGAGCUUGGGAGGCAGGGCUAUCACUCUGGGCACAACGCGGGACCCAGCUGGUCAAGUGCAGCCCACAGAUUCGCCACAGCUUCGUAUGCUUACAGCAAUCCCUCUAUUUAAAAGGGGCCUCCAGGACAUGAAGUGACUGACUAACUGAAGGACGACCCACACCCCCUUGAGUCUCACCAGCCCCUAAGACUGGCGUUGGAAGCCCUGCUCUCGACAAACCUCCUUGUUUUUCUCUCGUUUGGGGUUGCAAACACAAGGUAUUGAAAGAACCUGAACAUGUGACAGCCAUGGCUAUUGGCCUUUGUUCAGCUUUCUGAAUCAAAAGGAGCAUUAAAUCUGCCUUACGUUCAAGGCGUAAGCUUAAAUGGGAGGGAUAUGAGUUGUCUUCAGACAGAUUUGCAAGAACAAACCAAACCAGGGAUAUUUGUGCAUUUCUGAGGAGACUACAGAGUCACAAACACAGGGGAGUGGCAUGUCCUCAGAUCCCUCAUAUUAAAUCCCACAUUCACACAUCAUAAUCAGAAGUGAAAAAAGAAAAAGGAAAAUACAGAAAAACAAAGAAGAGUAUGUUUUAGAAAUGAAACAUCCUUGCCUUCCCUGCUGGAAAGUCAUUGAUUAACACAACAAAGUCUUGUGGCUGCAACACCGCUAGUAUCAGAGGCAGGGAUCAAGAAGGGUGGAGGGUGAGACAAAACAUGGGAAGUGUACAAGCACAGGCUUCCUGUAUCACCCCUUUAAGGAGUAAUCAAAGACAACAGUGACUAUUUCCAUUGUAAAGUCCCUCAGUUACUCUCUAACCUGUGACUGCCUUAGGAUAUAAAUUUAGCCUUUCUCCUAGCAGCCAGAAAAAGGGGGAAAAUAAAGCUAAAAUACAGUGCUUACCUCUAUGGGCU
This 1148-nucleotide long non-coding RNA is filed under the name Pogona vitticeps (central bearded dragon). RNAcentral describes it as "lncRNA (ENSPVIG00000008961.1)". The record is from RNAcentral. Lineage: Eukaryota; Metazoa; Chordata; Lepidosauria; Squamata; Agamidae.